UCCUGGUUAGUUCAGUUGGUAGAGCGCUAACCGGAAAUGUAGAGGUCCCUGGUUCGAUACCAGGACCACGCG
This 72-nucleotide transfer RNA is filed under the name Ixodes scapularis (black-legged tick). Its description in RNAcentral is "tRNA-Ser". The record is from RNAcentral. Lineage: Eukaryota; Metazoa; Arthropoda; Arachnida; Ixodida; Ixodidae.